This is a long non-coding RNA of Coregonus clupeaformis (lake whitefish), 772 nucleotides long. RefSeq lists it as uncharacterized. The record is from RefSeq and is a predicted model, not a curated record. The transcript is spliced from 3 exons. Lineage: Eukaryota; Metazoa; Chordata; Actinopteri; Salmoniformes; Salmonidae.
GGACACAUUCAUGAGAAACAAGCUGUUGAAGAAGGAAUUUAUCUAAAAGAUUGGCUCCAGGUGAAAGGAUUCAAAAAGAACGUCACUAUGGAUGCCCAGACUGCUCACCUUGCUUUUAAUGUGAGUGAUGAAGGAAAAAAGGCUCAGUACAGCACAGGAGAAGCUAACAAUUCCUCAAACAAGCAUCCCCAUGUGUUGGGUAAAGAGCGUUUAAUCUCUGGACAGCACUACUGGGAAGUGAAGAUGGGGGAUAAUUGUACAGAAAAGCUGUCAUGGUAUAUCGGUGUGGCCAGAGAAAAUGCUCCGAGAAAAUCUACCAUUCCUUUAACUCCUCAGUAUGGUUUCUGGAUUUUAUUUUAUGAAAAAGGAAGAGGUUUCCAUGUAAAAACAACUAACCCGCCAAAACAAAUAACUGUGGCAGAAUAUCUUUCUAUAGUAGGAGUGUUUCUAGACAGUGACAGACAAACUUUGUCUUUUUAUAAUGUUGAGACAAAGUCACAUCUCUACACUUUUAGUGAUGUGGUAUCAAACUGCUUUCUCCCUGUGUUCAGCCCUGGAAAAAGUGAUAAACAUGUUAUGAUAAUAUGUUGAAUAAAUACUAAGAUAUGAAGGUUAAAACACGACAAAGGAGGCAUACUGUAGGCAAUGUAUUUUAAAUUAGGCCAACACUACAACUACGGUAUGUUUAAUAUGAGGCAGCUGUAGGAACACAUGGCUAGGGUAUAAUUUUGACUGAAAUGUUAUUCAGGGAUGCUCAGUUCAACACACACAC